AGCCAGUUGGCGGGGUAACGGCCCACCAAAGCGACGAUCAGUAGCCGACCUGAGAGGGUGACCGGCCACAUUGGGACUGAGACACGGCCCAAACUCCUACGGGAGGCAGCAGUGGGGAAUAUUGCACAAUGGGCGCAAGCCUGAUGCAGCGACGCCGCGUGAGUGAAGAAGUAUCUCGGUAUGUAAAGCUCUAUCAGCAGGGAAGAAAAUGACGGUACCUGACUAAGAAGCCCCGGCUAACUACGUGCCAGCAGCCGCGGUAAUACGUAGGGGGCAAGCGUUAUCCGGAUUUACUGGGUGUAAAGGGAGCGUAGACGGCGACGCAAGUCUGGAGUGAAAGCCCGGGGCCCAACCCCGGGACUGCUUUGGAAACUGUGCUGCUGGAGUGCAGGAGAGGUAAGUGGAAUUCCUAGUGUAGCGGUGAAAUGCGUAGAUAUUAGGAGGAACACCAGUGGCGAAGGCGGCUUACUGGACUGUAACUGACGUUGAGGCUCGAAAGCGUGGGGAGCAAACAGGAUUAGAUACCCUGGUAGUCCACGCC
Molecule: ribosomal RNA, 541 nt
Filed under: uncultured bacterium
Lineage: Bacteria
Description: bacterial SSU rRNA
Rfam family: Bacterial small subunit ribosomal RNA
Source: RNAcentral